Molecule: ribosomal RNA, 253 nt
Filed under: uncultured bacterium
Lineage: Bacteria
Description: partial 16S ribosomal RNA
Rfam family: Bacterial small subunit ribosomal RNA
Source: RNAcentral
UACGUAGGGACCAAGCGUUGUCCGGAAUCAUUGGGCGUAAGGCGCGCGUAGGUGGCCAUUUAAGUCCGCUGUGAAAGUCAGAGGCUCAACCUUUGAAAGCCGGUGGAUACUGGAUGGCUAGAGUACGGAAGAGGCGAGUGGAAUUCCUGGUGUAGCGGUGGAAUGCGCAGAUAUCAGGAGGAACACCGGUGGCGAAGGCGGGUCUCUGGGCAGUAACUGACGCUGAGGAGCGAAAGCGUGGGGAGCGAACAGG